UAAGCGGAGGAAAAGAAACUAACAAGGAUUCCCCUAGUAACUGCGAGUGAAGCGGGAAAAGCUCAAAUUUAAAAUCUGGUGGUCUUUGGCCGUCCGAGUUGUAAUUUAGAGAAGCGUCUUCCGCGCUGGACCGUGCACAAGUCUCCUGGAAUGGAGCGUCAUAGAGGGUGAGAAUCCCGUCUUUGGCACGGACACACCAGGGCUUUUGUGAUGCGCUCUCGAAGAGUCGAGUUGUUUGGGAAUGCAGCUCAAAAUGGGUGGUGAACUCCAUCUAAAGCUAAAUAUUGGCGAGAGACCGAUAGCGAACAAGUACCGUGAGGGAAAGAUGAAAAGCACUUUGGAAAGAGAGUGAAACAGUACGUGAAAUUGUUGAAAGGGAAACGCUUGAAGUCAGUCGCGUCGACCGAGACUCAGCCUUGCCUUGGCUUGGUGUACUUCUCGGCUGACGGGUCAGCAUCAAUUUUGCCCCUUGGAUAAUGGUGAGGGAAAUGUGACACCUUUACGGUGUGUUAUAGUCUCUUGUCGCAUGCAAGGGUCGGGAUUGAGGAACUCAGCACGCGCCCUUGGGCGUCGGGGCUUUUGCCCACGAUACGUGCUUAGGAUGUUGGCAUAAUGGCUUUAAACGACC
This 628-nucleotide ribosomal RNA is filed under the name uncultured Russulaceae. RNAcentral describes it as "LSU rRNA". It matches the Rfam family "Eukaryotic large subunit ribosomal RNA", at positions 47 to 649 of the family's 3401-position model. Lineage: Eukaryota; Fungi; Basidiomycota; Agaricomycetes; Russulales; Russulaceae. The record is from RNAcentral.